This 452-nucleotide unclassified non-coding RNA is filed under the name uncultured fungus. RNAcentral's name for it is "partial contains internal transcribed spacer 2 and large subunit ribosomal RNA". The record is from RNAcentral. Lineage: Eukaryota; Fungi.
AACGCACCUUGCACUUGGGGAGUCCAUUCCCAAGUAUACCUGUUUGAGUAUCAUGUACAUUUUUCCGAGAUAUUGGGAGUUGAGACUUAGGUGUAGAGUGGAUUGCAUUCGCAGAAUGGAUUGAUUCUGGACGCCUAUUUCUUUAAAUGCAGUGGGGACCAAGGACGAGCGUGCUUGUUCUUUCAUGAGGAUGUUUGCCGCUUGGCGAAUCAAUCAUUAGGGAAUGAGAGGCGCAAGUCUGCAAUGUAGUGAGAGCAGUGUGUAGUGUAGAGUGUAGAGUGAGAGCAGCAAAGCUCAAGCUCCAGCUCAAGCUCAAGCUCGACUCCUAUAUGGUGGACCCUUAACUUGCACUGUGUUGUGUUGUGUCGGAUCUCACGAUCCUACACAAUGCAAUUCAAACGCAAAUGCACCCUUGUGAUCUCAAAUCAGGCAAGACGACCCGCUGAACUUAA